AUAACGGUCCUAAGGUAGCGAAAUUCCUUGUCAGGUAAGUUCUGACCCGCACGAAUGGCGUAAUGAUUUGGGCACUGUCUCGACAGCCCGCCCGGCGAAAUUGUAGUACUGGUGAAGAUGCCAGUUACCCGCAACUAGACGGAAAGACCCCAUGGAGCUUUACUGUAGCUUAAUACUGAAGAUCGGUAAUGCAUGUACAGGAUAGGUGGGAGACUUGGAAGCCAGGGCGUCAGCUUUGGUGGAGUCGUCCUUGGGAUACCACUCUUGUAUUGCUGGUUUUCUAACCUGCGGCCCUGAAUCGGGUCGGGGGACACUGUUAGGUGGGCAGUUUGACUGGGGCGGUCGCCUCCAAAAGAGUAACGGAGGCGCUCAAAGGUUCGUUCAGCACGGACGGAAAUCGUGCAUUGAGUGUAAACGCAUAAACGAGCCUAACUGCGAGACCGACGGGUCGAGCAGUAACGAAAGUUGGAGUUAGUGAUCCGGUGGUAUGUGAGUGGAAAUGCCAUCGCUCAACGGAUAAAAGCUACCCUGGGGAUAACAGGCUGAUCUCCCCCAAGCGUCCACAGCGACGGGGAGGUUUGGCACCUCGAUGUCGGCUCGUCACAUCCUGGGGCUGAAUUCGGUCCCAAGGGUUCGGCUGUUCGCCGAUUAAAGUGGCACGCGAGCUGGGUUCAGAACGUCGUGAGACAGUUCGGUCCCUAUCUGUUGCGGGCGUAAGAGAUUUGAAGGGAGCUGUCCUUAGUACGAGAGGACCGGGAUGGACGUACCUCUGGUGUACCAGUUGUCGUGCCAACGGCACAGCUGGGUAGCUAUGUACGGACGGGAUAAACGCUGAAGGCAUCUAAGCGUGAAGCCCCCCCUAAGAUGAGAUCUCUCAUCCUUUAUGGAGUAAGGGCCCAGGAAGACUACCUGGUUGAUAGGCAGGAGGUGGAAGCGCAGUAAUGUGUGCAGCUGACCUGUACUAAUCGCCCGAGGGCUUGACCU
Molecule: ribosomal RNA, 984 nt
Filed under: mouse gut metagenome
Description: bacterial LSU rRNA
Rfam family: Bacterial large subunit ribosomal RNA
Source: RNAcentral